Molecule: long non-coding RNA, 808 nt
Organism: Tachyglossus aculeatus (Australian echidna)
Lineage: Eukaryota; Metazoa; Chordata; Mammalia; Monotremata; Tachyglossidae
Exons: 3
Source: RefSeq, a predicted model, not a curated record
ACGCGGCUGUUCCUCAACAAAACCCCUGCAACAGAGCCACCAGGACAGAGCUUGGGGGUCCUCCAGAGAAACUCACCUUCAAAGCUCUUCAGUGAUUCGCCAGUGAUGAGGUCCCAGUCCAAUCUCCCAAGAAACCUCUUCCCCCAUGGAAUCCUGGCUGCUAAGAUUAAGGGGACGUUAGCAGUGGCCAUUGAUCCUUUUGCCCUUGGUGAGCCAAGGUGAAAUGGAAGGCUCCGGAAGGUGAACAAUCACUCCUCAGUGACUGGAUUCCUCCUCUUGGGGUACUCGGAAGUCCAGGAGCUGCAAGAACACCUCACUGUUCCUCCUGGUCUACCUGGUGGUCCUGAUGGGAAAUCUCAUUAUAGUCACCAUCACUGCCCUCGACUGGUGCCUCCACACCCCCAUGUACGUCUUCCUCAGGAACUUGUCCAUCCUCGACCUCUGCCUCAUUUUCAUCACGGUCCCCAAGUCCAUCUUCACUCUGUGCCCCAAAACACAUCCAUCUCCUUCCUGGGCUGUGUCUUCUAGGUCUUUCUAGAGAUUCUGUUUGCUGCUUCGGAGACGUUUGUCCUCACGGUAAUGUCCUACGACCGCUACGUGGCCAUCUGCCACCCCCUGCGCUACGAGGUUGUCAUGGAUCGAGGGGUCUAUGUAAAGCUCAUGGUCACUUCACGGCUCAGGGCGGGGCUGCUUAGGGUUUUGUUCUCCACUAAUGUUUCCUCCCUGCAUUUCUGUGAGUCCCACGGGGUCCAAAUGUUUUCCUGAGACAUCCACUCCUUUUUGAAGAUCUCUUGUUCUGAGAAACAUA